Hibiscus syriacus is the source of this 137-nucleotide small nucleolar RNA. RefSeq annotates it as small nucleolar RNA snoR135. The record is from RefSeq and is a predicted model, not a curated record. NCBI's taxonomy places the organism in Eukaryota, Viridiplantae, Streptophyta, Magnoliopsida, Malvales, Malvaceae. The transcript has a single exon.
GGAGCAGGAAUAGUAUCGACGUUGUGCAAAUUUUCCAGUGCACGCUGUUCGAAACUGCAAAACUGAUUUGGGGAAGAUGGGCAGUUGUGCUUCAUAUCUAUCUUCGAUUCUUUUCGACGAUCAUCUUCCCCAUAUCC